RNAcentral lists this ribosomal RNA (742 nucleotides) under cyanobacterium enrichment culture clone 4_16_4.5.1_F10-T7. RNAcentral's name for it is "bacterial SSU rRNA". It matches the Rfam family "Bacterial small subunit ribosomal RNA", at positions 11 to 795 of the family's 1533-position model. Lineage: Bacteria; Bacillati; Cyanobacteriota. The record is from RNAcentral.
GUUUGAUCCUGGCUCAGGAUGAACGCUGGCGGUCUGCUUAACACAUGCAAGUCGAACGGGACUCUUCGGAGUUUAGUGGCGGACGGGUGAGUAACGCGUGAGAAUCUGCCCUUAGGUUGGGGACAACAGUUGGAAACGACUGCUAAUACCCAAUGUGCCGAGAGGUGAAAGGUUAACUGCCUGGGGAUGAGCUCGCGUCUGAUUAGCUAGUUGGAGUGGUAACGGCACACCAAGGCGACGAUCAGUAGCUGGUCUGAGAGGAUGAUCAGCCACACUGGGACUGAGACACGGCCCAGACUCCUACGGGAGGCAGCAGUGGGGAAUUUUCCGCAAUGGGCGAAAGCCUGACGGAGCAAGACCGCGUGAGGGAGGAAGGCCUAUUGGUUGUAAACCUCUUUUGAUAGGGAAGAACACAAUGACGGUACCUAUCGAAUCAGCAUCGGCUAACUCCGUGCCAGCAGCCGCGGUAAUACGGAGGAUGCAAGCGUUAUCCGGAUUUAUUGGGCGUAAAGCGUCCGUAGGUGGCAAACCAAGUCAGUUGUUAAAGCGUAGAGCUUAACUCUAUAAGGGCAAUUGAAACUGGUUAGCUAGAGUGCGAUAGGGGCAAGGGGAAUUCCCAGUGUAGCGGUGAAAUGCGUAGAUAUUGGGAAGAACAUCGGUGGCGAAGGCGCCUUGCUGGGUCUGCACUGACACUGAGGGACGAAAGCUAGGGGAGCGAAAGGGAUUAGAUACCCCUGUAGUC